Tachysurus fulvidraco (yellow catfish) is the source of this 2333-nucleotide long non-coding RNA. RefSeq lists it as uncharacterized. The record is from RefSeq and is a predicted model, not a curated record. Lineage: Eukaryota; Metazoa; Chordata; Actinopteri; Siluriformes; Bagridae. The transcript is spliced from 3 exons.
CCCGUACCAAGAUGGCGCCUCAGUUGACGCAUUCGUUCCAAUGUACUGCCCUAUACAAGGCGACAUCUAGUGUAUAUAUAUAUCUAUGGUCACAAAGAUCUCGGUCCAUAAUGUUUAUUAUCCACUAGAGGGCGCUUGUGUACAUUAGCGCUCAGCACUCAUUAGCACUCACUCACUUCCUGUUUGUCAUGCACAUGGUGAGAUGGAACAAAUGUAAUUGUUACAAGGUAAAGCUAUUUCUACCUGUAUCGUAUGCCAUCCAUCCAAGAAGGUGCAAGUUAUAACCCCUUCUCUUAAGUCACAAGCAGGCAAAAGUGUGUGUUGGUGUUGAUGUCUAUACCAAUAAAAUAAAACAUCUGUGCAAAAGAACCUCAGCCUUCGCAAUGUGACUAAGGGCGGCAUACCGAGUGUGUGUCUAACAGAGGAGGAAAAGACAACAGAAAUGUUAUUGGUGGGCUGUAUGCAUCAUAUGGGGAAUAUACCUAUAUGGAAUCUUCACUCUGAGUUCGACCCCUGGGUCUUAAAGUCACCGGAUUCAUGUUUCCUAACUGAGCAGAUACACAGAUCACUUGUAAGCUUUAGGGCAUCGAUCCUUCCAUAAAUUUGUCUAUCCAUCCAUAUAUUUAAAUAACAACUUGCGUUAUGCAUCUUUUUAAAUAGAUUUUUUUUUCUUGCAUACAGGUGGUAUGUUUUUGAGGUAUCGUAGAUAGAUAUCAUGAUAGAUCGAGAUAUAGAUAGAAUUAAUCAAUGAAAAAACAUUGAAACAUUCAAAUAAAAAAAUCAGUGUGUGAUGCUGCCAUGUGUAUUGCUCAUGCUGUGUGCUACUUGCAAAUUGGUCAAUUAAUGACAACUACAUUUUGAAUGAAAAUAAUUCAAAUGGGGGAUCAGGAGGAAACCAAAUGAUUGUCAUCUAAAUAAUGAUCACUGUGUUCCAAUUAGCUUAGAAGCAUCAAUAUUUUUUUUCCUAAAGCAUUUUUCAUUUUAAUCAAUCAAACUGACACAAAAUAUCUGAGUUUAUAGACUAAUUAUUGUCACCUCACUGAUCCCUAGGGAUUAUUGUAUGAGCCUCAAAGAUAGUUAAGACAUUGUAUUACCUGCUGUUUUUCUCUAAUCCCCACAUUUCCUUGCUUAAACAUCAGCUUUCUGUGUUUUCUGAGUGCUUUAGGUGGUCCAGAAUAGUGACCCCACCAUACAGGAGUCAGAACCUUUUCAUUGCUUAACUCAUUUAUGUACAGAGUAGUUUGAAUUUUUGUUUUCUCAGUGGAAUGAAAUGUGGCAUAAAUACAUAAAUAGAUUUGUUUAUUUAUAAAUAAUAUUCUUGGGACUAUAAUAACAACACUUAAAAAAAUAUAUAUAUAAAUAUAUACAAAAAAUAUAUAUAUAUUUUUUGACACACCAUAUGGUCCAGAUGUCUCUUAAUUUGAAAAGCAUUCAGACAGUAAGGUGGUGCCAUGCUGAAAAGCGCUGCUAGAUUCCAUUAAAACAAAAGCUCAGACAAAAUCGUUAAAAUUAAAGUGCUGACAUUAUUAUUGAGCAAUUUUAUAAUGUAAUAACAAAUAAUGUACAUCAUUGACAUCAAUACAUGCUUAGAACACAUAGCAUCAUGGCCUUAAAUUAUCCAGUCAUGUUAGUGGUUGUGCUAUAAAAACAUUAACCCAUUGUCAAAACAUUACUCCAUGUUUCUAUGUGGGGGUAAUGUGUGAGGUGGUGGUGUCUAAACAGCAUGCAGUUCAUAUUGCUAAAAUUUCCCACACUCUUUAGAGUGUUAAGGACUUCGCAGUUCAUGUGGUUUUCUGUAAUGUUUGUGAUUUUAAAUUUUUCAUAAGGUGGUAUUAGCACCUCUUCCUCAUUAGGUAUCACAGAAAGAUUGCCUAUGUUUGCACCAAAGCAUGUGUUAAUCUCAAAACAGGAUUUAUUGACAUUGUUUGUGCAAGUCACCUUUUAAUGAAGUCGAUGCAAACCUGUCAAAUGGCAUUGUAUAAUUAAUUUUGGGUCUCACAAAACUAACGUUGGUUCUACGGAAAACAUCAACACAGCUCGGCACUUUAUGAAUUUGUAUGGCACGUGUUAGCAAGAAAUGUAUUGCAAGAAAUUUUCAUUGUAACUUUGAACAAAUGUUUUAAACCCAUGGUAUUUUAAGUAUGUAACCUAGUGAACCAGCAUUUAAUGUAUUCAAUGUUGGAGAUUUAAGCACUUAUGUACGUCGUUCUGGAUAAGGGCGUCUGACAAAUGCUGUAAAUGUAAAUGAAAGGCUUUGUAUUUGAAUAUGUUGAAGUGAUGUUCUCUUCCACAGCUGACAGCAUAAUUUAAUAUUGAAUAAAGUUUUUUCUUUG